RNAcentral lists this ribosomal RNA (468 nucleotides) under uncultured bacterium. RNAcentral's name for it is "partial 16S ribosomal RNA". It matches the Rfam family "Bacterial small subunit ribosomal RNA", at positions 28 to 507 of the family's 1533-position model. The record is from RNAcentral.
GACGAACGCUGGCGGCGUGCUUAACACAUGCAAGUCGAACGGAAAGGCCCUGCUUUUGUGGGGUGCUCGAGUGGCGAACGGGUGAGUAACACGUGAGUAACCUGCCCUUGACUUUGGGAUAACUUCAGGAGACUGGGGCUAAUACCGGAUAGGAGCUCCUGCUGCAUGGUGGGGGUUGGAAAGUUUCGGCGGUUGGGGAUGGACUCGCGGCUUAUCAGCUUGUUGGUGGGGUAGUGGCUUACCAAGGCUUUGACGGGUAGCCGGCCUGAGAGGGUGACCGGCCACAUUGGGACUGAGAUACGGCCCAGACUCCUACGGGAGGCAGCAGUGGGGAAUAUUGCACAAUGGGCGGAAGCCUGAUGCAGCAACGCCGCGUGCGGGAUGACGGCCUUCGGGGUGUAAACCGUGUUCGCCUGUGACGAAGCGUGAGUGACGGUAAUGGGUAAAGAAGCACCGGCUAACUACGUG